RNAcentral lists this ribosomal RNA (223 nucleotides) under uncultured bacterium. RNAcentral's name for it is "partial 16S ribosomal RNA". It matches the Rfam family "Bacterial small subunit ribosomal RNA", at positions 328 to 539 of the family's 1533-position model. The record is from RNAcentral.
ACGCUCGACACCUACAGGAGGCAGCAGUAGGGAAUCUUCCACAAUGGACGCAAGUCUGAUGGAGCAACGCCGCGUGAGUGAAGAAGGUCUUCGGAUCGUAAAACUCUGUUGUUAGAGAAGAACACGAGUGAGAGUAACUGUUCAUUCGAUGACGGUAUCUAACCAGCAAGUCACGGCUAACUACGUGCCAGCAGCCGUGGUAAUCUGAGCGGGCUGGCAAGGC